This 43-nucleotide ribosomal RNA is filed under the name Paecilomyces variotii. RNAcentral describes it as "Byssochlamys spectabilis partial small subunit ribosomal RNA". Lineage: Eukaryota; Fungi; Ascomycota; Eurotiomycetes; Eurotiales; Thermoascaceae. The record is from RNAcentral.
GGUAAGUCGUACAGUUCCGUAGUGAACCUGCGGAGGAUCAUUA